GGUUAAGCUACUAAGAGCGCACGGAGGAUGCCUAGGCACUAGGAGCCGAAGAAGGACGUGGCGAACAACGAAAUUGCCUCGGGGAGCCGUAAGCAGGCUUUGAUCCGGGGAUGUCCGAAUGGGGAAACCCGGCUGCGGUAAUGCGCAGUCACUUCUUACUGAAUACAUAGGUAAGAUGAGGCAUACCAGGGGAACUGAAACAUCUAAGUACCCUGAGGAAGAGAAAACAAUAGUGAUUCCGUCAGUAGCGGCGAGCGAACGCGGAUUAGCCCAAACCUACGGACUUGUCCGUAGGGGUUGUAGGACGUCUCACAUGGAGUUACAAAGGUGUUGGUUAGGCGAAGAGGUCUGGAAAGGCCCGCUAUAGAAGGUAAAAGCCCUGUAACCAAAAGCCAGCACUCUCCGAGACGGAUCCUGAGUACGGCGGGACACGUGAAACCCCGUCGGAAUCCGGCAGGACCAUCUGCCAAGGCUAAAUACUCCCUAGUGACCGAUAGCGAAGCAGUACCGUGAGGG
Molecule: ribosomal RNA, 516 nt
Filed under: Paenibacillus terricola
Lineage: Bacteria; Bacillati; Bacillota; Bacilli; Caryophanales; Paenibacillaceae
Description: Paenibacillus sp. PR3 partial 23S ribosomal RNA
Rfam family: Bacterial large subunit ribosomal RNA
Source: RNAcentral